Molecule: ribosomal RNA, 1417 nt
Filed under: Malassezia globosa
Lineage: Eukaryota; Fungi; Basidiomycota; Malasseziomycetes; Malasseziales; Malasseziaceae
Description: eukaryotic LSU rRNA
Rfam family: Eukaryotic large subunit ribosomal RNA (bases 890-1417)
Source: RNAcentral
UGCGUUGAUUACGUCCCUGCCCUUUGUACACACCGCCCGUCGCUACUACCGAUUGAAUGGCUUAGUGAGCCUUUGGGAUUGGCAGCUUGUACCGGCAACGGUAGCAGGCAGCCGAAAACUUAGGCAAACUUGGUCAUUUAGAGGAAGUAAAAGUCGUAACAAGGUUUCUGUAGGUGAACCUGCAGAAGGAUCAUUAGUGAAGAUUCAAGGGCCAGCCAUACAGACGUACAAUAAGUGUGUCUCUGGCGGCUCGCAUCCACUAUACAUCCAUAAACCCGUGUGCACUGUUCUAAGGAGUAAGAAAGAAGAAGAGAGAGUGCAUGUGCUUUGCAUAUAACUCUCUCACUCUCUUUCUCUCUCCGGUUAAUUACAAACUCGUAUGGAUUUGUAUGAACGUGAGAUAUAUCGUUGGACCGUCACUGGCCAACAAAUAUAACACAACUUUCGACAACGGAUCUCUUGGUUCUCCCAUCGAUGAAGAACGCAGCGAAACGCGAUAGGUAAUGUGAAUUGCAGAAUUCCGUGAAUCAUCGAAUCUUUGAACGCACCUUGCGCUCUAUGGUAUUCCGUAGAGCAUGCCUGUUUGAGUGCCGUGAAUUCUCCCAUCCCAAGCGGUUUUUAUCAAAGAAUUGCUAGGCGAUGGGGUUGAGAUGGGCGUUAUUAUAACUGCUUUUCUUCUCUAGAAAAGCUCGCCCGAAAAACAGCUAACGCCUCUGGGCCACUUUGCAUCCGCUUCUCUGAGGGGAGAAGCGGCCAAGCGCGCUCUGAUCAUCAGGCAUAGCAUGAUACGUCAUUUGCUAUGCUGUAGGAGAGCAUUUGGUUGUGGUUAUACCGCGUGCGUCAUUUUUUUUUCUUUGCAAAGAGGAAAAAAAAGCCCCCCUUUCAUUUCUGGUCUCAAAUCAGGUAGGAUCACCCGCUGAACUUAAGCAUAUCAAUAAGCGGAGGAAAAGAAACUAACAAGGAUUCCCCUAGUAACGGCGAGCGAAGCGGGAAGAGCUCAAAUUUGAAAGCUGGCACCUCCGGUGUCCGCGUUGUAAUCUCGAGACGUGUUUUCCGUGCGGCUCUAUGGACAAGUCCCUUGGAAUAGGGCAUCGUAGAGGGUGAGAAUCCCGUACUUGCCAUGGAAGAACCGUGCUUUGCGAUACACGCUCUAAGAGUCGAGUUGUUUGGGAUUGCAGCUCAAAAUGGGUGGUAGACUCCAUCUAAAGCUAAAUAUCGGGGAGAGACCGAUAGCGAACAAGUACCGUGAGGGAAAGAUGAAAAGCACUUUGGAAAGAGAGUUAAAAGUACGUGAAAUUGUCGAAAGGGAAGCACUUGAAGUCAGCCAUGCUGCUUGAGACUCAGCCUGGCCUUUGGGCUUGGUGUAUUUCUCGGUGGCAAGCCAGCAUUGGUUUGGGUCGUCGGAGAAGCGCAUAGG